CUCCUGUGCCAGAAUUUCUACCACCACAAGUACUCAUAAAGCAAUCUUCUUUGCUAUCUCGUGGACCAUCUUCUCAACUCUCUCGGCCCUCUGCACGUGGCAUUAAGAAGACCUCUAAUAAAGAGAAGAUUUUUCCCGUGCGGCCAUCCCAGAUGUCAUCACAAAAAACAACAGAUACUUCUUUGCUGGCAGCUAUUAAUGAAUUAAUGCUACGCAAAGCCACUAAGCAUCGUACAGCAACGAUCCGUUCCCGGAGAACUGCGUUACAACUUUCAGAAUCUGAGUCGGGGUCAGAGAGUGAUUAUGGCAAUGAGAGUUGACCUGAUCCAUAGAAGAGUACAUGACAUCAAUGGAUUAACACUACGCAGU
Long non-coding RNA from Schistocerca nitens (vagrant locust), 369 nucleotides. RefSeq lists it as uncharacterized. The record is from RefSeq and is a predicted model, not a curated record. Lineage: Eukaryota; Metazoa; Arthropoda; Insecta; Orthoptera; Acrididae. The transcript has 3 exons.